AUCCAGCUGAUGAGUCCAAAAUAGGACGAAACGCGCGUCAUGGAU
Schistosoma mansoni is the source of this 45-nucleotide non-coding RNA. NCBI's taxonomy places the organism in Eukaryota, Metazoa, Platyhelminthes, Trematoda, Strigeidida, Schistosomatidae. The record is from Rfam.